Molecule: transfer RNA, 83 nt
Organism: Rhizopogon vesiculosus
Lineage: Eukaryota; Fungi; Basidiomycota; Agaricomycetes; Boletales; Rhizopogonaceae
Rfam family: tRNA
About the family: Transfer RNA (tRNA) molecules are approximately 80 nucleotides in length.
Source: Rfam
GAACCCGUGGCGCAGUGGUAGCGCGUAUGAUUCCAGUAUUAGUGGCAUCCAUAAGGUCAUCCGUUCAAUCCGGGUCGGGUUCA